GGGCUUGCCCUGGGGCAAAGCCGCGAACGGGUGAGUAACACGUGAGUAACCUGCCCCGAUGACCGGGACAACCCGAGGAAACUCGGGCUAAUACCGGAUGUGGCGCACAGGCGUAAGCCUGUUCGCUAAAGGAAGCUUCGGCCUCCGCAUUGGGAGGGGCUCGCGGCCCAUUAGCUUGUUGGUGGGGUAACGGCCUACCAAGGCAACGAUGGGUAGCUGGUCUGAGAGGACGAUCAGCCACACUGGGACUGAGACACGGCCCAGACUCCUACGGGAGGCAGCAGUGGGGAAUCUUGCGCAAUGCGCGAAAGCGUGACGCAGCAACGCCGCGUGGGGGAAGACGGCCUUCGGGUUGUAAACCCCUUUCAGGAGGGACGAAGGUUCACCGGUGAAUAGCCGAGUGGAUUGACGGUACCUCCACAAGAAGCUCCGGCUAACUACGUGCCAGCAGCCGCGGUAAUACGUAGGGAGCAAGCGUUGUCCGGAAUCAUUGGGCGUAAAGCGCGCGUAGGUGGCCUCAUAAGUCCGCUGUGAAAGUCAAAGGCUCAACCUUUGAAAGCCGGUGGAUACUGUGAGGCUAGAGUACGGAAGAGGCGAGUGGAAUUCCUGGUGUAGCGGUGGAAUGCGCAGAUAUCAGGAGGAACACCAAUAGCGAAGGCAGCUCGCUGGGACGUUACUGACACUGAGGCGCGAAAGCGUGGGGAGCGAA
Molecule: ribosomal RNA, 709 nt
Filed under: uncultured Actinomycetes bacterium
Lineage: Bacteria; Bacillati; Actinomycetota; Actinomycetes
Description: bacterial SSU rRNA
Rfam family: Bacterial small subunit ribosomal RNA
Source: RNAcentral